UACGGGGGGAGCAAGCGUUGUUCGGAUUUACUGGGCGUAAAGGGCGCGUAGGCGGCCACCGCAAGUCGGUUGUGAAAUCUCUGGGCUUAACCCAGAAAGGUCAACCGAUACUGCGGGGCUAGAGUGCAGAAGGGGCAACUGGAAUUCCUGGUGUAGCGGUGAAAUGCGUAGAUAUCGUAAGGAAGACCAGUGGCGAAGGCGGGUCUCUGGACAGUUCCUGACGCUGAGGCACGAAGGCCAGGGGAGCAAACGGG
RNAcentral lists this ribosomal RNA (254 nucleotides) under uncultured bacterium. Its description in RNAcentral is "partial 16S ribosomal RNA". It matches the Rfam family "Bacterial small subunit ribosomal RNA", at positions 524 to 776 of the family's 1533-position model. The record is from RNAcentral.